AAUCAACGCUGGCGGCGCGCUUAACACAUGCAAGUCGAACGGGAAAGUGGAGCAAUCCAUGAGUACAGUGGCGUACGGGUGAGUAACACGUGGGUAAUCUGCCUCUUAGUGGGGAAUAACCCUGGGAAACCGGGGCUAAUACCGCAUAAGCCUGAGAAGGGAAAGUCGCAAGACGCUGAGAGAGGAGCCCGCGGCCGAUUAGCUAGUUGGGAGGGUAAAAGCCUACCAAGGCAAAGAUCGGUAGCCGGCCUGAGAGGGCACACGGCCACACUGGCACUGAAACACGGGCCAGACUCCUACGGGAGGCAGCAGUGGGGAAUCUUGCACAAUGGGGGAAACCCUGAUGCAGCGACGCCGCGUGAGCGAUGAAGCCCUUCGGGGCGUAAAGCUCUUUCGGCAGGGAAGAUGAUGACGGUACCUGCAGAAGCAGCUGCGGCUAACUACGUGCCAGCAGCCGCGGUAAUACGUAGGCAGCGAGCGUUGUUCGGAGUUACUGGGCGUAAAGGGUGUGUAGGCGGUUGUUUAAGUUUGGUGUGAAAUCUCCCGGCUCAACUGGGAGGGUGCGCCGAAUACUGAAUGACUAGAGUGCGGGAGAGGAGAGUGGAAUUCCUGGUGUAGCGGUGAAAUGCGUAGAUAUCAGGAGGAACACCGGCGGUGUAGACGGCUCUCUGGACCGCGACUGACGCUGAGACACGAAAGCGUGGGUAGCAAACAGGAUUAGAUACCCUGGUAGUCCACGCCCUAAACGAUGCAUAUUUGGUGUGGGUCAUUCAGUUGAUCCGUGCCGGAGCUAACGCGUUAAAUAUGCCGCCUGGGGAGUACAGUCGCAAGGCUGA
RNAcentral lists this ribosomal RNA (836 nucleotides) under uncultured bacterium. Its description in RNAcentral is "bacterial SSU rRNA". It matches the Rfam family "Bacterial small subunit ribosomal RNA", at positions 28 to 897 of the family's 1533-position model. The record is from RNAcentral.